GAUGAACGCUGGCGGCGUGCCUAACACAUGCAAGUCGAGCGAAGCACCUUACUUGAUUUCUUCGGGAUGAAAGUAUUGUGACUGAGCGGCGGACGGGUGAGUAACGCGUGGGUAACCUGCCUCAUACAGGGGGAUAACAGUCAGAAAUGGCUGCUAAUACCGCAUAAGCGCACAGUACCGCAUGGUACAGUGUGAAAAACUCCGGUGGUAUGAGAUGGACCCGCGUCUGAUUAGCUGGUUGGUGGGGUAACGGCCCACCAAGGCGACGAUCAGUAGCCGGCCUGAGAGGGUGAACGGCCACAUUGGGACUGAGACACGGCCCAA
Molecule: ribosomal RNA, 324 nt
Filed under: uncultured bacterium
Lineage: Bacteria
Description: bacterial SSU rRNA
Rfam family: Bacterial small subunit ribosomal RNA
Source: RNAcentral